RNAcentral lists this long non-coding RNA (265 nucleotides) under Ananas comosus (pineapple). RNAcentral's name for it is "long non-coding RNA (ACOM_LNC035659)". Lineage: Eukaryota; Viridiplantae; Streptophyta; Magnoliopsida; Poales; Bromeliaceae. The record is from RNAcentral.
CCAGCAGGAGGAAGAAGAAGAAGAAAAAGAAAAAGAGAAGAAAAAAUUGCUCCGCCUGGCCUUCGCUUUUUUUUUCUGGCGGAAAAAAAAAAGAACGAGGGAACGAAGAGGAGAGAGAAAGAGGAAAGAGAAAAAGUAAUAAGGGUAUUUUAGUCAGUUUGCUGAAAAAGCAAACCGAAUCUGCAAAAACGAAAAAGGUGGCCCGACUUUGCAAAAGCCCAAAAUAAGUGAAUUUUUUAUGCAAAUUGGCCUAUAUAUAUUGAUA